AAUUGGCAAGGACUGAUGUCAGAUCAUGAGAAAAAAAUGUCUCCAGAAUGUGUGAAUGAAGAGUUCUAUUUCUGUUAUGUUGAGACAUAUGAACUUGUGCCUCUACCUGAUUGUGGUAAAAGAGUAAUAUGUGAAAUCCAAAUGAGGCACUGUAAGGAUUACAGUGGCAAUCAUGAGUCAAUAAGCAGCACCCAUGAUUUUAAUCAAUAUGGAGGGUGUGCACAAUUAUCAAAAGAUUCAAAACCGACUAAUGAUUAGAAAAUCUCCUGAUUAAUGUGCAGGAACGUUUCCUCCUACAACCAAUGGCAAAGGAUGCAGGCACCACAAAAUGCAACUACACUUGUGACAAUAAAGGACAUGUAAAUGUUUCAUAAAGAAAAAAAGCUUCUGUAAAUGGACACUCUGACAGACUUGGAGAAGGUCUGAUUCGGCUUUCAUCUCAGUGACUCAAUUAUUUAAUCUUUAAAUAAUUGAGUUGAUAAGCUAGGUUUUUCAACAAUAGUGUGAACACGAGGAGGAUCCCAGCAACUGCAAAGACCUAAAGUUUCAGGUGAACAGAAGGAUUUCAUUUUUAUUUUACAUUCCAAUAAUAUGUAUGUAAUUCCUUUGUCAUUGAGUAGGACAUUGCAGCACAUUACCAGUCCAUUUUCUCGCUCCUUGCGCAACCUUGGGACUUCAUCUGCUUUGGCAC
This is a long non-coding RNA of Telopea speciosissima, 691 nucleotides long. RefSeq lists it as uncharacterized. The record is from RefSeq and is a predicted model, not a curated record. Lineage: Eukaryota; Viridiplantae; Streptophyta; Magnoliopsida; Proteales; Proteaceae. The transcript is spliced from 2 exons.